GACGAACGCUGGCGGCGCGCCUAACACAUGCAAGUCGAACGGAGCUGAGAGAAGUUUGCUUUUCUUAGCUUAGUGGCGAACGGGUGAGUAACGCGUGAGUAACCUGCCCUGGAGUGGGGGACACUAGUUGGAAACGACUGCUAAUACCGCAUAAGCCCACGAUCCGGCAUCGGAUUGCGGGAAAAGGAUUUAUUCGCUUCAGGAUGGACUCGCGUCCAAUUAGCUAGUUGGUGAGGUAACGGCCCACCAAGGCGACGAUUGGUAGCCGGACUGAGAGGAUGAACGGCCACAUUGGGACUGAGACACGGCCCAGACUCCUACGGGAGGCAGCAGUGGGGGAUAUUGCACAAUGGGGGAAACCCUGAUGCAGCGACGCCGCGUGGAGGAAGAAGGUUUUCGGAUUGUAAACUCCUGUCGUUAGGGACGAUAAUGACGGUACCUAACAAGAAAGCACCGGCUAACUACGUG
Molecule: ribosomal RNA, 468 nt
Filed under: uncultured bacterium
Lineage: Bacteria
Description: partial 16S ribosomal RNA
Rfam family: Bacterial small subunit ribosomal RNA
Source: RNAcentral